RNAcentral lists this ribosomal RNA (413 nucleotides) under Drosophila biarmipes. RNAcentral's name for it is "partial 12S ribosomal RNA". The record is from RNAcentral. Lineage: Eukaryota; Metazoa; Arthropoda; Insecta; Diptera; Drosophilidae.
UAAACUAGGAUUAGAUACCCUAUUAUUUAAAAUGUAAAUAAAUUGCUAAAGUAGUAAUAGUUAUGUUCUUGAAACUUAAAAAAUUUGGCGGUAUUUUAGUCUAUCUAGAGGAACCUGUUUUUUAAUCGAUAAUCCACGAUGGACCUUACUUAAAUUUGUAAUCAGUUUAUAUACCGUCGUUAUCAGAAUAUUUUAUAAGAAUAAUAAUAUUCAAUAAUUUUAAUAAAAAUUUAUAUCAGAUCAAGGUGUAGCUUAUAUUUAAGUAAUAAUGGGUUACAAUAAAUUUAUUUAUAUGAAUAAAAUUAUGAAAAAAUUUUUGAAAGUGGAUUUAGUAGUAAAAUUAUAAAGAUUAAUAAUUUGAUUUUAGCUCUAAAAUAUGUACACAUCGCCCGUCGCUCUUAUUAUUAAGGUAA